GUGCCCUUUUAAGGUACAAGUACUUUAAGAGGCUAACACAAAAGGGUAAAGGAAAUAAAUCUCCAGAAAACCCAGAGAAGAGAUGGCAAACCAACUCCUCUUUGUAUCCUGCCUGGAGUCACAGGU
Small nucleolar RNA from Jaculus jaculus (lesser Egyptian jerboa), 126 nucleotides. Lineage: Eukaryota; Metazoa; Chordata; Mammalia; Rodentia; Dipodidae. The record is from Ensembl.